Long non-coding RNA from Tarenaya hassleriana, 205 nucleotides. RefSeq lists it as uncharacterized. Lineage: Eukaryota; Viridiplantae; Streptophyta; Magnoliopsida; Brassicales; Cleomaceae. The record is from RefSeq and is a predicted model, not a curated record. The transcript is spliced from 3 exons.
UGACCAAGAAAAGAAAACCAAGGAAGCCAUUAUCCAAGCAAGUUAUCUUCCUCUUUCGAUAAUCGUAGUUGGGGUCGGUGACGGUCCGUGGGAUAAAAUGAAGGAAUUUUGCAGUAUCCCCAACCGGGUCUUUAGUAACUUCGAUUUUGUGAAUUUCACGGAGAUCAUGUCGAAGGACGUGGAACAGAAUCGGAAGGAGGCCGAU